RNAcentral lists this long non-coding RNA (1392 nucleotides) under Ursus thibetanus thibetanus. Its description in RNAcentral is "lncRNA (ENSUTTG00000023107.1)". Lineage: Eukaryota; Metazoa; Chordata; Mammalia; Carnivora; Ursidae. The record is from RNAcentral.
CUGGCGGCGGCGGCGGGGGCUGGAGGCGCGCCGAGUCUCUGCGGCUGCUCGUACGGCCGCCUUUCUGCGCGGCGACCUCCCCGGCCCCCUGCCCGCAGCGGGGAGGCAGUCGCCCAGCCGGCGCUGAGACGCGCCCCGCCCGGAGGUGAUCCCCCACGGAGCACUGCGGAGUGCGUGCCGUCGGGGACAGCUGCGCUGGCUCGGAGCGAGGGAACCCUGCACGGGACCUGGGGACGUUCCGCGCGCAGUUCCAAGCGCGUCUGGAGUUGGGGGACAGAGGGGCGCAGCGGUCUCAAACCCCUCGCGCGGAGGGGCGACCGUCCCGAUCCCCAGGAGAUCUGGUCCCACGGCAGAGGCCAGUGACGCGGUCUUUCCCGGGAGCUGCUGCAGGAGUCGCAAGGCAGGGAUAGCUCAGACUGCAAGAGGAGCCUCGAGGAGAAGGUUGCUUCCAGAGGCUUCACUCCCUGCGCUUCACCUCCGAGCCCAGGAGGUCCCCGGGGCCAAGGAGCGCACCGGCGGAGAAAGAGACUUCUAGCUCUCUGCGGUGGGAAGGAAUCAGCCGUGGCAGGUGCUAAGAACCACAGGAGAGUCAGGUGGAGAGGGUGAAGCCGUGACGUCAACAGCGUGGAUCAUAAGGACUCCAUCCAGUCGGAGACAAACAGAGGUCAUCUGGGGGACUUCGCGGAGGGCGCUCGCAGCCUCCCCCCUGCCCGGGCGGCGCCCGGCCCGCAUGCUACGAAGCGCUUUCGGCUCGGGCAGCCGCGCGUCUCUCCAGGAACCAACGUGGAGGGGCCCUCGCCAGGUGGUCGGUCUCUGGUCUCAAGUCCCUUUUAACCGCCCUUCCCUGCCCGCCUAGAUCGCGGAGGCCCCACAUUCCUGGCAAGACCUCUCCAGGGCUUCCGGAGGCGGGUCCCAGACUGAGAGAGCGGUUCCAUACUGGGGGGGAGGAUGGGGGGAUGUCCCCGCGAACUGCUGGACGGAGGAAGAUAACACGCCAGCGGCGCGAAGUCCGAGACGGGGGUCUGAUGGCGCCGCGGCCUUGCUCCGGGAGCCGCGACUGGCCUGUUCUCUAUUCCACAUCGCUCGUGCUGCCCUCCUUGCCUUCAUCCUGCGUCUCCCACUAGCUGGACCGAUCCAUCUGCCGACACGUUGGCCCAGUUCCAGGCGGCUCCGGGUCCGGGCGCUCUCACGAGCUGCCCCCCCCCAAACCCUCCAACCCCGGAAGCCCCAGACCCCAGGCAUCCUGAAGCCAGCGGCUCGGUUCGGGGGUUAAGGCCCAACGCCCCGCGGGUUUCCCUGAAAUAGCAAACUUCUGCCGGAAGGGGGCGCCCUUGCCUUUUUAAUAGUCCACAAACGCACAUUGGUAGCGAAAUAAAUCUCUAAAAUUCCAAA